ACAUGCAAGUCGAACGAACCAUCCUGAAGAUUGAAGCUUGCUUCAUGAUUCAGAUUUUGGUGAGUGGCGGACGGGUGAGUAACACGUGGGUAACCUGCCCAAAAGUGGGGGAUAACAUUUGGAAACAAGUGCUAAUACCGCAUAACAACUACUUUCACAUGAUCGUAGCUUGAAAGAUGGCUCUGCUAUCGCUUUUGGAUGGACCCGCGGCGUAUUAGCUAGUUGGUGAGGUAAUGGCUCACCAAGGCAAUGAUACGUAGCCGACCUGAGAGGGUAAUCGGCCACAUUGGGACUGAGACACGGCCCAAACUCCUACGGGAGGCAGCAGUAGGGAAUCUUCCACAAUGGGCGAAAGCCUGAUGGAGCAAUGCCGCGUGAGUGAAGAAGGUUUUCGGAUCGUAAAACUCUGUUGUUGAAGAAGAACAUGCGUGAGAGUAACUGUUCACGUACUGACGGUAUUCAACCAGAAAGCCACGGCUAACUACGUGCCAGCAGCCGCGGUAAUACGUAGGUGGCAAGCGUUGUCCGGAUUUAUUGGGCGUAAAGAGAAUGUAGGCGGUUUAUUAAGUUUGAAGUGAAAGCCCUCGGCUCAACCGAGGAAGUGCUUCGAAAACUGGUAAACUUGAGUGCAGAAGAGGAAAGUGGAACUCCAUGUGUAGCGGUGGAAUGCGUAGAUAUAUGGAAGAACACCAGUGGCGAAGGCGGCUUUCUGGUCUGUAACUGACGCUGAGAUUCGAAAGCAUGGGUAGCAAACAGGAUUAGAUACCCUGGUAGUCCAUGCCGUAAACGAUGAGUGCUAAGUGUUGGAGGGUUUCCGCCCUUCAGUGCUGCAGCUAACGCAUUAAGCACUCCGCCUGGGGAGUACGACCGCAAG
This 874-nucleotide ribosomal RNA is filed under the name Lactobacillus sp. 582B1_12AVRE. RNAcentral's name for it is "bacterial SSU rRNA". It matches the Rfam family "Bacterial small subunit ribosomal RNA", at positions 53 to 892 of the family's 1533-position model. The record is from RNAcentral. Lineage: Bacteria; Bacillati; Bacillota; Bacilli; Lactobacillales; Lactobacillaceae.